Molecule: long non-coding RNA, 590 nt
Organism: Eucalyptus grandis
Lineage: Eukaryota; Viridiplantae; Streptophyta; Magnoliopsida; Myrtales; Myrtaceae
Exons: 3
Source: RefSeq, a predicted model, not a curated record
UCACAGGCAGCGUUACAGUUCAUACAGGGUCUGCGCGAACCUGUUUCUUAACAAAAUUUGGGUUUUUUUGGGACAUGAUGAAUUGAAAGUUGGUGAUGAAAUUUGCGGCGAAAUUCUGCAGCCCGCAUGGUAAUGUGCACGUCCAAGUCAAAUGGGAAAGAAGGAAUCCAGCCCAUUUUUCUCAACAUGGAGAUUGAUGAUAUUAAGCUUGAAAGUGAUUUGCCACGAAUUGCCCUAGAUAAGCUUAGGAGGAUAAAUAGCGACGAAGUGGAGGAUUGAAAAAAGGCUCUAAGAGAGGUCACAGAUUUCAGGGGGUUCGACUUGAAAGCUAACAGCCAUGCACAACUGGUUGAAUUGAUCACUGCAGAGGUUUUGCGUCAUCUGAUGGAUGCCUGAUGCAGAAUUUGACUGAAGUUAGUUAAAGAUCAGUGAUAGCUGAUGCUGUAAGAAACUUGUUACUCAAGCCUUUGUUUGGUUCAUUGACAAAGAUGAAAGAAAUUGUGUUCCAUUGAUCCAUUUCACGCAGUAAAAUUCUGUGGAACUGCAUUUAUUUUUAAAUUUUGGAGGAUCCAAGAAUUUCAUUUUGAAAU